UCUCCGUUGGUGAACCAGCGGAGGGAUUAUUACAGGACUCGCAAGACUCCUACAACCCUGUGAACUUAACUAUAAGCACGUUGCUUCGGCGGGUGUCUCGGAGGGGGUUCUCCCUCCCCGAGACGCUAAACCCGCCGGCAGCCUACUAUACUCUGUCUCUUUGCGUUGGCAUCUCGAGUACAAUCAAACAAGUUAAAACUUUCAACAACGGAUCUCUUGGUUCUG
RNAcentral lists this unclassified non-coding RNA (225 nucleotides) under plant metagenome. RNAcentral describes it as "partial contains small subunit ribosomal RNA, internal transcribed spacer 1, and 5.8S ribosomal RNA". The record is from RNAcentral.